CCCUUAGAUGUUCUGGGCCGCACGCGCGCUACACUGACGAUGGCAACGAGUUUUUCCUUCGCCGAAAGGUGUGGGUAAUCUUUUGAAACAUCGUCGUGCUGGGGAUAGAUCAUUGCAAUUUUUGAUCUUGAACGAGGAAUUCCUAGUAAGCGCGAGUCAUCAGCUCGCGUUGAUUACGUCCCUGCCCUUUGUACACACCGCCCGUCGCUACUACCGAUUGAAUGGUUUAGUGAGGACUCAUGAUUGGCGCCGCCGCCCCGGCAACGGAGCAGCGGACUGCCGAAAAGUUGUUCAAACUUGAUCAUUUAGAGGAAGUAAAAGUCGUAACA
This 329-nucleotide ribosomal RNA is filed under the name uncultured eukaryote. Its description in RNAcentral is "partial 18S ribosomal RNA". It matches the Rfam family "Eukaryotic small subunit ribosomal RNA", at positions 1470 to 1796 of the family's 1831-position model. The record is from RNAcentral.